This 401-nucleotide unclassified non-coding RNA is filed under the name soil metagenome. Its description in RNAcentral is "partial contains 5.8S ribosomal RNA, internal transcribed spacer 2, and large subunit ribosomal RNA". The stretch from base 1 to 121 matches the Rfam family "5.8S ribosomal RNA", at positions 35 to 154 of the family's 154-position model. The record is from RNAcentral.
GAUGAAGAACGCAGCGAAAUGCGAUAAGUAAUGUGAAUUGCAGAAUUCAGUGAAUCAUCGAAUCUUUGAACGCACCUUGCGCCCUUUGGCCAUUCCGAAGGGCAUGCCUGUUUGAGUAUCAUGAACACCUCAACUCUCAUGGCUCGCCAUGAUGAGCUUGGAUUUGGGGGGCUUGCUGGCCUGUGGUCGGCUCCUCUCAAAUGGAUCAGCUUGCCAGUGUUUGGUGGCAUCACAGGUGUGAUAACUAUCUGCGCUUGUGGUUUUCCAUCUGAUAACCUUCAGUGAUGGAGGUUCGCUGGAGCUCAUAAACGUCUCCCCUAAGCGGGGACAGCCCUUUGAAUGUUUGAUCUCAAAUCAGGUAGGACUACCCGCUGAACUUAAGCAUAUCAAUAAGCGGAGGA